AUAAAAUUGAGAAAGGAAAUGGUGAAUAUGUCAAAGCGACAACCACCCGACCAUAGAGCAAACAACAGCCGAAGGCAACCAAUGGGUCUUCAAUGUAGCGAGAAUUCCCGCACCCGUAGGUGUCCUUCAGCUGGCCCCUUAAAUAUGCAUAAUAGUACAGUGAUAAUGGACGUCAUACUAAACUCCGAAUUAUACACAAGAAACUAAAAUUUAAAAUCAUACAAGAC
Molecule: long non-coding RNA, 227 nt
Filed under: Mytilus galloprovincialis (Mediterranean mussel)
Lineage: Eukaryota; Metazoa; Mollusca; Bivalvia; Mytilida; Mytilidae
Source: RNAcentral